GGAUCGAUGGGAGCUUGCUCCCUGAGAACAGCGGCGGACGGGUGAGUAACACGUGGGUAACCUGCCUGUAAGACUGGGAUAACUCCGGGAAACCGGGGCUAAUACCGGAUAACACCUACCCCCGCAUGGGGGAAGGUUGAAAGGUGGCUUCGGCUAUCACUUACAGAUGGACCCGCGGCGCAUUAGCUAGUUGGUGAGGUAACGGCUCACCAAGGCGACGAUGCGUAGCCGACCUGAGAGGGUGAUCGGCCACACUGGGACUGAGACACGGCCCAGACUCCUACGGGAGGCAGCAGUAGGGAAUCUUCCGCAAUGGACGAAAGUCUGACGGAGCAACGCCGCGUGAGUGAAGAAGGUUUUCGGAUCGUAAAACUCUGUUGUUAGGGAAGAACAAGUGCCGUUCGAAUAGGGCGGCACCUUGACGGUACCUAACCAGAAAGCCACGGCUAACUACGUGCCAGCAGCCGCGGUAAUACGUAGGUGGCAAGCGUUGUCCGGAAUUAUUGGGCGUAAAGCGCGCGCAGGUGGUUUCUUAAGUCUGAUGUGAAAGCCCACGGCUCAACCGUGGAGGGUCAUUGGAAACUGGGGAACUUGAGUGCAGAAGAGGAAAGUGGAAUUCCAAGUGUAGCGGUGAAAUGCGUAGAUAUUUGGAGGAACACCAGUGGCGAAGGCGACUUUCUGGUCUGUAAC
Molecule: ribosomal RNA, 690 nt
Filed under: Bacillus sp. MR-4
Lineage: Bacteria; Bacillati; Bacillota; Bacilli; Caryophanales; Bacillaceae
Description: bacterial SSU rRNA
Rfam family: Bacterial small subunit ribosomal RNA
Source: RNAcentral